AUUGCUUUUAAAUAUUCUAAAUUGUUACUUUAAUCUUCCAAAUGCAAAGUUUGGUUAUAUUUAGACUUAUUUAUUCAUAUUUGGCACUUUUUUCUACUUCAGUUUUGGCUGUCUAGUUUUGGCGAAGAAUCCAUCCUGAUGUUGGGGUAACAUGAAUUUCUGCAGAGUGAUUGUCAAUGACAUUUUGUGAACUUUACAAGUAAUUAAAACACAGAUUUAGUAUAAUGAAACAUAAUUGUUGUUUUAUUUGGUAUCAAACUGCUUAAAAAAAGCCUUUAAAAAGUCCUUUUGUGCUCUUUUCAGGGUAUUUAAUCAAAAACUUCCAUAUAAGGAAAAAUUUAACUAAGAGUACACCAAGUCUUUAGUUUCUAGGUGUAC
This 378-nucleotide long non-coding RNA is filed under the name Mytilus galloprovincialis (Mediterranean mussel). The record is from RNAcentral. Lineage: Eukaryota; Metazoa; Mollusca; Bivalvia; Mytilida; Mytilidae.